CUGGCGGCAGGCCUAACACAUGCAAGUCGAGCGCGCCUUCGGGUGAGCGGCGGACGGGUUAGUAACGCGUGGGAACGUGCCCUUCUCUACGGAAUAGCCUCUGGAAACGGAGAGUAAUACCGUAUACGCCCUUUGGGGGAAAGAUUUAUCGGAGAAGGAUCGGCCCGCGUUAGAUUAGGUAGUUGGUGGGGUAACGGCCUACCAAGCCUACGAUCUAUAGCUGGUUUUAGAGGAUGAUCAGCAACACUGGGACUGAGACACGGCCCAGACUCCUACGGGAGGCAGCAGUGGGGAAUCUUAGACAAUGGGGGCAACCCUGAUCUAGCCAUGCCGCGUGAGUGAUGAAGGCCUUAGGGUCGUAAAGCUCUUUCGCCUGUGAUGAUAAUGACAGUAGCAGGUAAAGAAACCCCGGCUAACUCCGUGCCAGCAGCCGCGGUAAUACGGAGGGGGUUAGCGUUGUUCGGAAUUACUGGGCGUAAAGCGCGCGUAGGCGGAUUAGAAAGUUGGGGGUGAAAUCCCGGGGCUCAACCCCGGAACUGCCUCCAAAACUGCUAGUCUAGAGUUCGAGAGAGGUGAGUGGAAUUCCGAGUGUAGAGGUGAAAUUCGUAGAUAUUCGGAGGAACACCAGUGGCGAAGGCGGCUCACUGGCUCGAUACUGACGCUGAGGUGCGAAAGUGUGGGGAGCAAACAGGAUUAGAUACCCUGGUAGUCCACACCGUAAACGAUGAAUGCCAGUCGUCGGAUAGUAUACUAUUCGGUGACACACCUAACGGAUUAAGCAUUCCGCCUGGGGAGUACGGUCGCAAGAUUAAAACUCAAAGGAUUGACGGGGGCCCGCACAAGCGGUGGAGCAUGUGGUUUAAUUCGAAGC
RNAcentral lists this ribosomal RNA (871 nucleotides) under uncultured marine bacterium. Its description in RNAcentral is "bacterial SSU rRNA". It matches the Rfam family "Bacterial small subunit ribosomal RNA", at positions 36 to 957 of the family's 1533-position model. The record is from RNAcentral.